CCCUUAGAUGUUCUGGGCUGCACGCGUGCUACACUGAUAUUGCCAAUAUGUCAUUCUUAUCCGAAAUGGAUUGGGUAAUCAAGUAAUGAAAUUUCAUGCUUGGAAUCGGUAAUUGCAAUUUUAUCGUGAACGAGGAAUUCCUAGUAAGCACUAGUCAUCAGCUAAUGUUGAUUAUGUCCCUGCCCUUUGUACACACCGCCCGUCGCUACUACUGAUUGGGUGUUCAAGUGAGAUGCUUAGACCCUUGUCGCAUGGUUCAUUAUUGUGCUCCGAAAGGAAAAAGUUUCAAGCUUGAGUGUCUAGAGGAAGUAAAAGUCGUAACA
This 323-nucleotide ribosomal RNA is filed under the name uncultured eukaryote. RNAcentral's name for it is "partial 18S ribosomal RNA". It matches the Rfam family "Eukaryotic small subunit ribosomal RNA", at positions 1470 to 1796 of the family's 1831-position model. The record is from RNAcentral.